This is a long non-coding RNA of Manis javanica (Malayan pangolin), 1488 nucleotides long. RefSeq lists it as uncharacterized. NCBI's taxonomy places the organism in Eukaryota, Metazoa, Chordata, Mammalia, Pholidota, Manidae. The record is from RefSeq and is a predicted model, not a curated record.
GUGGUGACGGAGCAGAGAGGCCUUGAGUCUGAGCGGCUCCCUGAGCCUAGCCAGGGCCUCCCGGGGCCCGGCUCCCUUCUGUCCCCCGCUCUCCCUGCCACAGGGCUCCUUCCCGCCGCAGUACCACCUUGGUCCGGGCCAGCCACCCUGCCGGCUCCGUUCAAGAGAGAAUUCAUAAAAUACGAGGAAGAUAAACUUGAUACCUCGGGGGGUCACUGUGGUUCCCCGACUCAAGAAAUAUGGGGAUGUCUAAGCCGGAUGACAGAUACAGUGGCCUUUCUUGGGGGAGACAGAGAUGCAAUGCUCCACACACCCAAAUCCAUCACCGUGGGACAUACAUCCGGACACAGCGGUGAUCUGCCAGCACGGCAACAGCGGGCUGCGGCCAAGGCCGUGCGAGCAGAUUAUUACGGCCUCUGGGGAGGGGCUCCAGCCGAGUGAGCAGAACCUACAGGCCCCUGCCCACCAGGCCACAGCCUCCUGAGCCAGGCCUGGAGCCCACCCGGCUCGUCCCACGGCAACCAGGAUUGCCCAGUGGGCUGCCCUCUGAAUGACUCCAGCUAUUUCCAAGGUUUGGACCCCCUCAGGGUGGGGGCCACAUCUCACAGAGACUCAUUUCUGAAGACUAGUUCUGCCACAUACCCAGCCCAGCUAAGCCCCCUUGCCAGGCCCAGAGAGGACGCUGAGGGUCAUUACCAGUCUGUCAUGGUCACAGAUGGCUGCAAGAGACAGGUGAGUUCACAGCAUCGUAGGGACUUUUCCUGGGCACCAGGACAGCUAAGAAGGACUCAGCUCUGAGACAGACUCUCUGAGCUGCCGAGGCUCCAGACCACAACGCCACAGUCCAAGCCAGGGGCAGAUGGAACGUGAGUGUGUGCCUUCAGGGCCCUUUGUGACCCGAUCCUGUCUUGGUGUUCCAGCCUUACCCCACGUGAUCCCUGUACUAUGACUCCUGGACUUCCACCUACCAAGCUUCUAGAAGGUUCCAUGCGCAUCCUGCCUCUGAACCUUUUGCACCUCCUAUACUGCCUUGGCCCCCAGCCCCCAGCACUCCAGUGCCAACGCCAAGGGCUGAACCCCAUUUUCUGGCAUUGCCUCAAGCCAAGGCGAGCUCUGCCCAUCAUGCCCCCCAGUGACACCCCCAUCUUGUGAUGUUCCUCCAGACACUGGCUACCCCUUGCACGUGGCAUGUAGUACUGAGGGCAUGUGGUAGGUUCGAUGGCUAAGCACUGACUCAACCCCUCUUGUUCAAUUUUGCACAUGUAUUUGUUGGUUUUAUUGAUGGAGUAUUUGCUCUGGAAGCCAUUUUUCCUGUUUGCUCAUUAGCAUCUACAUUCCUAAUAACAUUCCUUCUUUGGAGGCUUUAAUAUCAAAAAAUUAAUAAUCAAUGUCCAGAACAAAGGCUGGCUGACAUCAUGAGCCUACAGGGUUUAGUCUAGCAAAUUCUACUGUGUCUAGCAUACAAAACCAUACACACCAGGGGAGCAU